AAGAGUUUGAUCCUGGCUCAGGAUGAACGCUGGCGGCACGCCUAACACAUGCAAGUCGAACGGCCUUCGGGUUAGUGGCAAACGGGUGAGUAAUGUAUAAGUAACUUGCUCUUAAGACUGGGAUAACGUUCCGAAAGGGGCGCUAAUACCAGAUACGCUCCAAGAUACCUAAGUAUUUUGGAGGAAAUGAAUUUCGCUUAAGAAGAGGCUUAUAUCUGAUUAGUUUGUUGGUGGGGUAAUGGCCUACCAAGACUACGAUCAGUAGCUGGUCUGAGAGGAUGAUCAGCCACACUGGGACUGAGACACGGCCCAGACUCCUACGGGAGGCAGCAGUGGGGAAUAUUGCGC
This 348-nucleotide ribosomal RNA is filed under the name uncultured marine bacterium. RNAcentral's name for it is "bacterial SSU rRNA". It matches the Rfam family "Bacterial small subunit ribosomal RNA", at positions 1 to 369 of the family's 1533-position model. The record is from RNAcentral.